UUGUAUUGACCCGCAGUUUUUUCAAUUUGUUGGAACUUGGGAAGGAAAAUACAAGAGCGAGACUGAAGAAGCACAAAAACGAAGAUGAUUGAUGAUCAAGAUCUGGGUUUCUUUGCUAAUUUUCUCGGCAUCUCCAUCCUUGUGCUGGUGAUAGCAUACCACUUCGUCGUGGCUGAACCAAAGUAUGAAGGAAACUAGGAAUGCAUUGAAGUCAAAGAUAUGCUUCAAAAAUCAGUUGUUGGAGUUGGAUCCCUUUUUUCCAAUUAGUUGAUUCUAUAUAAGGUACCAUGUACAUAGAAUUGGAUAAUAUUAGGGUCAAGUCGCUUCUUACAGUCAUGCUGCUAGAUUUACUGUGAACUUAGGGUGUUGAUUUUACAAUAAAUUUCUUUCCUGUUUACCGCAAUUGAUGGCAACACAUUUUCUGUCACAAAAAUUCUGUCACUCCAUAUAACACUUAAUAUGAUUUGUUAGGAAAUACUUCAAUGUUAUUAAUACUGUACCGGUCAUUAAACCGGUAGGGGUACUACUACAGUGGUAUAGCGGUU
Non-coding RNA from Lupinus albus (white lupine), 545 nucleotides. NCBI's taxonomy places the organism in Eukaryota, Viridiplantae, Streptophyta, Magnoliopsida, Fabales, Fabaceae. The record is from the annotation of a GenBank genome assembly.